Molecule: long non-coding RNA, 1164 nt
Organism: Homo sapiens (human)
Lineage: Eukaryota; Metazoa; Chordata; Mammalia; Primates; Hominidae
Gene: ZBED3-AS1
Product: ZBED3 antisense RNA 1
Source: Ensembl
GGGCGACAUCAAGCAAGUCCCAGUUACAGAAAGAACCCACUGCAGGGCGUCCAGUCACUUGCCCAGUGAAAAGACUGUAAUCAGACAACUUUAAUAAAGGGAGAGCAGGAGAGUGGUGACGAAUUUCCACAUUCCGAACAAGCUUGUCGAAAGAGGAGUGCAGGGAAGGAGCAAGAAUGAGGCACUGGAAGACGGCUGUAGGCGCAUGAUGUCACAAGUUAUUGGAAGAAAUCCCUCCAACCUAGGUUGGGACAGAUGAAGGCGGCGCUUAUUGGUGUUCACCAAAACACCAGCAUGGUGUACCAGCUUUGGCUAGAUGAUGCUCAGAACACCAGAGACUGGGUAAUUAAUAAAAAGAAGAAAUUGAUCUGGCCUACAGUUCUGGAGCCUUGGAAGUCCGAGAUCAAGGAGCUGCAUCUGGGUUCUAGGAUGCCUCAUAAAGGCCCGUAGUGUACUUUCUGUCUACUUCACUUAGCUCCGCAUUUGCAAUUUCUGUUAACAUGCAUACAGUUGAAUGGAUGGCCAGGAUCAAAGCUAUCUGCUGUGAGACACAAUGAGAAAUGCUUUUGUGUAAAGAUAAAUACCUGGAGUGGGAUUGCUAGAUCACAUGGUAAAUAUGUAUUUAAAUUUAUGAGAAACUGCCAAAGUAUUUUCCAAAGUAAUAGUAACAUUUUACACUCCUACCAGGACUGUCUGAGAGUUCCAGGUGCUCCACAUCCUUACUGACACUUAGUAUUGCCUGUCUCUUUAAUUUUGGUUGUUCUAGUGGGUGUGAAAUGGUAUCUUGGUUUAGUUUUAAUGUGCAUUUUCCUAAUGCCUAAUGGAAUUUUCCUUCACCUAAUGGCUAAUGAGGUUGGGGUCUUUCCAUGUGCUUAUUAGUCAUUCAUAUACCUCCUUUAGCAAAGGGUCUUUUCAAUUAUCUUGCUUAUAUUUAAUUGGUCUGCCUUCACAGUUGAGUUGUAUUAGUUCUUUAUAUAUUCAACGUACAAGUCCUUUGUUAGAUAUAUGUUUGCAAAUAUUUUUUUCCCAUUCUGUGGUUUCUCUUUCAUCUUCCUAAUGGUGUUUUUCAAUGAGCAAAAAUUAAUUUUAUAAAAGCUUAGUUUACCAAUUAUGUUUUUAAUAGUUUGUUGGUCUUAUGCUCUAUUCAAUAAAUAUUUGCCUACA